RNAcentral lists this ribosomal RNA (406 nucleotides) under uncultured bacterium. RNAcentral's name for it is "partial 16S ribosomal RNA". It matches the Rfam family "Bacterial small subunit ribosomal RNA", at positions 30 to 526 of the family's 1533-position model. The record is from RNAcentral.
AUUGAACGCUGGCGGCAGGCCUAACACAUGCAAGUCGAACGCGUGGCGGACGGGUGAGUAAUCUCAGGGAAACUGCCUGAUGGAGGGAGAUAACUACUGGAAACGGUAGCUACUACCGCAUACCAUAAGAUGUGCCAAUAUGGGAUUAGCUUGUUGGUGGGGUAACGGCUCACCAAGGCGACGAUCCCUAGAGGGUCUGAGAGGAUGCCCAGCAGUACUGGAACUGAGACACGGUGCAGACGACUACGGGAGUCAGCAGUGGGGAAUAUUGCACAAUGGGAGUAAGCAUGAUGCGUCCAUGCGGCGUGUAUGAAGAAGGCCAUCGGGCUGUAAAGUACUUCAAGCGGGGAGGCGUUACCUGCAGAAGAAGCUCCGGCUAAAUCCGUGCCAGCAGCCGCGGUAAUUC